CUGGAGACCUCAUGAUGAGUCCACUAUUUGGGAAUGAUAAAACCUGUCCAAGUUUUAUUUCUUGUUCUCCAAUUGGGCCCCUCUGCUUUCCAGUGAAUACUUGUUGGCUUUCUCCUCUUCUCUGAUUCACUAAAUGCUCCAUUGCUUUCUUCUGCUUCCUCCUACACAGACACUGAUACAAUGCUCUCAUAUUUAACAUGCUAGCCUGCGGAGACAGUAGAACUGCGAUGCUUCACGGAUAGGCCCUCAACCACAGUGAAAGGCUGCCAGACACAGAGAAGUAAGGAAAAGAGAUGAGCUCUAUGAGGAAAUGCAAAAAGCAAUUAUAAUUUCAAUUGUGGAAAAAGAAAACUCAGAAGUCAACUUAAGAACUUGCCAGUCAGACUGCUUUUUGAGGGAGCUGUCCGAUGAGCUGGUGUUGCUAUUUGAGGUGAACCACCCAGCUAGCUGGGUGGCUUGACUACCUAGAGGGAAAACUUGACCAUUCAUACAGCAGAGAAAGACGUGACUAAAGAACACUGUCCCCACUAUACACUUCCACCCUGCAUGACAUCAGUGAAUCUUUGACUUCCUUUAGGUUAGCAAAGCAUGGAAACGAAUUUCAGGCCAAAUGACGAUACAUUCAUGAUCGCUGGACAAUUUUAUUAUCUGGAUCCUGGGGCAGUGCAUGCAGUGUUUGUCCUGGAGCAACCUCCUUAAGGGGCCACCUCUGCUUGAGCAACACGCUGGAAGCUUCAUAGAUAGGUAACAUUCUCUAGCUUGCUACCCAGCCCCCUUGGUGUCAUGUUUCUCUUCUCCCCCAUCCUCCUGUGUAGUGCAUGUGCUCUCCAGACUCUCCCCAAGGCUCUGUCCCUGUCCCACCUUCCCUCUCUGAGAACUUCCCACCUCCGCUCCACUCCUUCAGGUGAGGAUUUUUUUUUCUCUCUGACUCAACACAUAUGCAGAUAACUUACUGGUCAGACCCUUCUUUGUUGUAUUCGGUCUCUAAGAUCCUGGGCCUAUUUGUUACUCAUAUUGUCUAGAUCUUGGGAGCAGAGCCAUGUCCAAAGAUCAUGGAAUUCUUUGCACACAGAGUGGACACCUGACCUGCCAUCAGGGUGUAGGCUUUCCUGAUGCCCCUCCCACCCGAGCCAGGUGUGAGUGGAAGGGAUGAAUCUCAGAGGGUUGAAUAAGUUAUGAGCCUUAGUUCAUGAUAUAUCAUCAUCUUUGAUUUGGGUUAAUCUUUGAUUUAAUUAGCUAUCACUUUUAUUCCCAUUCUUCAUUCCCAUGCCCCAUCCAUAGGCAGUCAUAUCUAUGUGUUUAAUGUUUACCUUUUUAUCUGUAAAUGCCCUUAUAAAAUAUGCAUUAUUAUUUGGCGUACAUAUAUUUUUCACUUACACAGACAGUAUUGAAUUAUUUAUCUUCUUCCCCCCAUUCAGCACUAUGCUUUUAAGGUGCAUGCAUAUCGUUCUGUGGGCUUCUAUCUGCGGCAUGAUCAGCCACAGUGUGCAUCUGUGUAUCAUGCUCUCUGCCUUCCCAGCCCCUGACAAACACACAGACAAUGCUGUGGGAAACAUCACAGUAUAUAUUCAUAUCUUCAUAUGAGAGGCAUAUUCCCAAGGGUGAAAUUAAGCCCUAUAAGAUGAAUGAGCUAUAGAUACAGGAAUGUAGGUAUAGAUAGAUGUAGAUGGCAAACAUAGAUAUUUAAAUUCAUAUGCUUAC
Molecule: long non-coding RNA, 1701 nt
Filed under: Homo sapiens (human)
Lineage: Eukaryota; Metazoa; Chordata; Mammalia; Primates; Hominidae
Description: HSALNT0022498
Source: RNAcentral